This 212-nucleotide ribosomal RNA is filed under the name Kiritimatiellota bacterium. RNAcentral's name for it is "partial 16S ribosomal RNA". It matches the Rfam family "Bacterial small subunit ribosomal RNA", at positions 1 to 193 of the family's 1533-position model. The record is from RNAcentral. Lineage: Bacteria; Pseudomonadati; Kiritimatiellota.
AUUACGGAGAGUUUGAUUCUGGCUCAGAACGAACGCUGGCAGCGUGGAUUAGGCAUGCAAGUCGAACGAGAAUUCGUGCCUUCAAGCCGCAAGGUGAGAAGGCGCGGAGGAGAGUGGCGAAAGGGUGAGGAACGCGUGGGCAAUCUAUCUCAAAGUUGAGUAUAACCCGUCGAAAGGUGGGCUAAUACUGAAUGUGAUCGUCCCGGGCAUCC